This is a long non-coding RNA of Anas platyrhynchos (mallard), 2407 nucleotides long. RefSeq lists it as uncharacterized. Lineage: Eukaryota; Metazoa; Chordata; Aves; Anseriformes; Anatidae. The record is from RefSeq and is a predicted model, not a curated record.
UAAAUAAAUGGCUGAUCAUUGCAUUGUUUUAUUUGUUCAGUGAGGCUUUGAAGAUAUGCUUGUGUCCUCACAGGGAGCGGUGUAUUUGCUCUAGGGGAGAGGUCAGACACAUGUCAGAGAGCUGCUGCCUUGGCUUCUCCUGGUAUUCGUGGCAGAGGACAAUCGUGUGCAGCUGAAAUUGUUUCAUCCAAGGAAACAGAGACCAGAGGCCUUCUGUGGUUGAUGGAAGUAUUCAGAAUUCCUACGGGUCCUGAAGCAGGGAUCAUCCCCUGUAAAUUAACAGGCCAGAGAGUUACGUAAGGAGCUCAAGUUCCUCUGCCUCUGGAAGUUAGACGUUUCAGAAACACCUUCAACAUUGGAAAAAACUCUCAGUAAGAGGAAAGUGUUCUGCUGUGACAUCGUUUGAACUUAAACUACAACAGAAGAUGUGAUCUCAUUGAAACAAAAUAUGUGUUUUUCCAGGGAAGAGAACUCCCCAUUUCUGAGCAGAAUCGCACUAAUUAGAGCCUUGAUCCAGGAUUAAAUAUGGUAGGUUUGAACCCACUGAUUUUUAUGGUGUCAGGAUUACACCUUCUCAUUACAGAGAUGGACUUUAUAGCUUCUAUUCAAACUUGAGUAGUGUCAGCUACAUGGGAUUGAAUUUGAGACCAUGGACAAAAAUGAGUUGGGAUGUGUCCCCAAGAAGGCGUGCCAUAAAGCUCACAGACUAAUAAGCAAAUAGCAAGCUCCGUCCACCUGCCACCACAGGAAGAGGCACUGGCAAUGGAAAUGCUUGUGUUUUGCCAUUCCCGUGCCUUUUUCUGUUAGUGUUGUAAACAGGAGAUUCCUUCACACAACCACAACGGAAGCAGGCCAGCAGAUACGGUUUCCCUGCCCCAACCUCCUUAUGUUGCCUCCACAAGAGAGCAUUUUGGUGCCUUCCACUUCAGGAGGGGGAAGUGUUGGGUUUCCUGCAUCCCCUUAUCUACACUGAUGUUUGCUCAACGUUGUCUCUGUCAUGGCUGCUCUGUCUGCACCCUCUCCUCUGGCCACCAGCUGUCUGUUUAAUCCAGUUCUGCAAGCAGAGUUAAUGAGACAUUCCUACUUAAAUAACCCGGUGCGAUUAAAGCUUCAGAUCUUUGCACCUCAACAGCUGUGUGUUGUCACUGAGAUAAAUAUUUUAACUGGUCUGGCAAUUCCCUAGCUGCCCUGCGUAAGUGGUUGAGAGAGUGGCUAUUGUUUCACCAUUUAUUAAAGUGAAAUUCAAGUUCUGACAAAACAGCCAUCUAGAAGAGACCUGUAAAGGAAGAGGAGAGUGGGAGCCAAUCUGGCUUUCCAGAGGGCUUUUGAGCAACAUGGGCAUGCCUGGCUGUAGUUGUCUGCUCCUAGGUGAAGUCUGGCUGUACUUUCAGUGGCAGCAUAGAUGAGUUUUGGUGCACCACUGAUGUCAGGUCAGGCAGUCCUUCAGGAUGCUGGACAAGCAAAAGCCUAUCCAAAUAAUUUGUCUUUGGAAAACAGGGCAAAUGUCAUUAAAUUCUUUCUGCUUGCAUGGCAGCAGUCUUACAAAGGAAGGCUGAACAAUCUGAUCUUGAAUUCAGCUUACUGAAUUAAGAGUUAAGAAGGUGGUAGAUUUCUAGCCUGUAUUUGUCCUAAUGGAGACCAAGAAAAAUCGUUUCACAUGUUUUGAAGAACUGGGUGAGAUAUUGAUAUUAAAAUAGGUUUAGCAUGACAAUCUAACUGAUCCAUGAUGGUUUUGUUGUUUGUUUUGCUGUUGUGGUGAUGGUGGUUUAUUUUUUCUAGUUUGUGGGUGUCAGCGGCACAGCAUCAUGGCUCAGAGGUGUGUGUGAAGACCUGGCCAAGGCAGGCCCCAAACACAAAUCUAGUUCCCCAGGCAGGCCCAGAAAGGACCCCCUCUGUCACUCCAGGCUUUGGCUUUUGAUUCACGCUUUGACUAACUGUAAGUACUAGCAGAAAGGGAAGGUUUCUGAAAAAGAAAUUAGAGCUACUCUACAUUUUGGUUCCUUCCCACCCCAAAAAGGACAAAAUUCUCACAAAGGCGCUGCCUGCUUUGUAAAUUAGCUGUAAUAAGGAAGAGGCCAGAGGAGACAAUUACUGUCUUGGUGUGCCUGGUAUAACCCAGCUUUCGCUCUCCCAAAUGCUGGGGGGGAGAUCUUACAGACAGGCAUGGAGGCUUGAUUUGGAGCCUGUCACCCAGCAUAUAAUUCACAUUCUCUUAAGGCGUCAUUGCUGUAACAGUGCCCUGAGUGACUCAUGGGGAUGAGAAAAGAUAAAGAAAAAAGCACGUUGAUUACUCUGAAAUUAAGAUAAUUCCCCCCCUUGUUUACAGUACAAAAAUUUUAUUUUUUUGUUAGGAUAAUUUAAAGUUUAAAACUGAAGUAGACAUAUUCAUUUUACAAACAAGAUAUUC